Molecule: ribosomal RNA, 497 nt
Filed under: uncultured eukaryote
Lineage: Eukaryota
Description: SSU rRNA
Rfam family: Eukaryotic small subunit ribosomal RNA
Source: RNAcentral
AGGGCAAGUCUGGUGCCAGCAGCCGCGGUAAUUCCAGCUCCAAUAGAGUAUAUAAACGUUCCUGCAGUUAUUCGAUGCUCGUAGUUGGAUUUCUGAGGUUGAGACGGGAGGGUGGCUAUGGCCAUCGCCCGACUCUUUCCUCAUCCACCUGUUUGCGAAGUCCGGGAUUGAUUUCUCGGCUUCGGGCGCAGUAUCUUACCAUUUCAAUAUUCGUAGUCUUCAUCGAUUAUGUUGUUUCUUUGAGCAAAUUAUAGUGUUUCAGGCAGGCGUGCGCCGGAAUACAUUAGCAUGGUAUAAACGAAUUGGACCGUGUGCCCGUAACUGGGCUUCUCCUUAUUGUUGGUUUGAAGGACACGGAGAUGGUUAAUAGGGACAGCGUUUAUUUCACAAGGAGGCAUUAGUAUUUAAUUUCCAGAGGUGAAAUUCUUUGAAAUAUUAAAAGACUAACUUAUGCGAAAGCAUCGUUUGCCAAUGAUGUUUUCAUUAAUCAUUGAACG